RNAcentral lists this ribosomal RNA (1662 nucleotides) under human gut metagenome. RNAcentral's name for it is "bacterial LSU rRNA". It matches the Rfam family "Bacterial large subunit ribosomal RNA", at positions 505 to 2196 of the family's 2925-position model. The record is from RNAcentral.
GAAGGAAAGGUGAAAAGGACCCCGGGAGGGGAGUGAAAGAGAACCUGAAACCCUGUGUUUACAAGCUGUGGAACAUCUUUAUAUGAUGAACCGCGUACUUUUUGUAGAACGGUCCGGCGAGUUACGCCAUCUGGCGAGGUUAAGUACUAAAGGUACGGAGCCGAAGUGAAAACAAGUCUUAACAGGGCGUUAAGUCAGAUGGAGUAGACCCGAAACCGGGUGAUCUAUCCAUGUCCAGGAUGAAGAUGCCGUAAAAGGCAUUGGAGGUCCGAAGCCACAUCCGUUGAAAAGGGUGGGGAUGAGGUGUGGAUAGGGGAGAAAUUCCAAUCGAACCCGGAGAUAGCUGGUUCUCCUCGAAAUAGCUUUAGGGCUAGCCUCGAUACAGAUUUGCGGAGGUAGAGCACUGAAUUUCCUAGGGGGCGUCAAAGCCUACCGAAGAAUAUCAAACUCCGAAUGCCGCGUAAUCGAUUAUCGGGAGUCAGACUGCACGAGAUAAGUUGGGCGGUCAAAAGGGAAAGAGCCCAGACCUUCAGUUAAGGUCCCCAAGUGCGCGUUAAGUGGAAAAGGAUGUGGGAUUUCGAAGACAACCAGGAUGUUGGCUCAGAAGCAGCCAUACAUUCAAAGAGUGCGUAAUAGCUCACUGGUCGAGAGGUCCUGCGCCGAAAAUGUCCGGGGCUGAAACGCGCCACCGAAACUAAGGAAUCUGAAAAGAUUGGUAGAGGAGCAUUGCAUGCGGGAAGAAGCAGUACCGGAAGGAGCUGUGGACUGCAUGGAAGAGAGAAUGCCGGAAUGAGUAGCGAGAUAGAGGUGGGAAUCCUCUAGGCCGAAUAUCCAAGGUUUCCAGAGUAAAGCUGAUCUGCUCUGGGUAAGUCGGGGCCUAAGGCGAGGACGAGAGUCGUAGCCGAUGGACAACAGGUGGAGAUUCCUGUACUGCGGUAUGACAGAACUGUGGGGACACGUAAGGAAAGCGGAAGCCGGGAAUGGAAAGCCCGGUGCAAGCGGGGUACCAGUCACUCAGGCAAAUCCGGGUGGCAAUGGGAAGCCGUGAUGCGGAGUGAAAUAAAGUAACGAAGUCCGUGAGCCAUGCGUCAAGAAAAGCCGCUAUCGUUUAUACCGUACCCGUACCGUAAACCGACACAGGUGGAUGAGGAGAGAAUCCUAAGGCCGGCGGAAGAAGCAUUGUCAAGGAACUCGGCAAAAUGGCCCCGUAACUUAGGGAUAAGGGGUGCCUGGGAAACCAGGCCGCAGAGAAUAGGCUCAAGCAACUGUUUAGCAAAAACACAGGUCUAUGCGAAACCGAAAGGUGAGGUAUAUGGGCUGACGCCUGCCCGGUGCUGGAAGGUUAAGAGGAGAGGUUAGCGCAAGCGAAGCUUUGAAUUUAAGCCCCAGUAAACGGCGGCCGUAACUAUAACGGUCCUAAGGUAGCGAAAUUCCUUGUCGGGUAAGUUCCGACCCGCACGAAAGGCGUAAUGAUUUGAGCGCUGUCUCGACAAUGCACCCGGUGAAAUUGAAAUACCAGUGAAGAUGCUGGUUACCUGCGCCAGGACGGAAAGACCCCAUGGAGCUUUACUCCAGCUUGAUACUGGGAUUCGGUAUUGCAUGUACAGGAUAGGUGGGAGGCUAUGAGUAUGGAACUCCGGUUUCAUAUGAGCCGCUGUUGGG